CUUCAGGAUGUGUUCUGAGUAUCAUCUGGGCGCAGGUCUGGAUGGUUUUGGAAUGCUUCUGAUAUAAAGUCCUUCCUGCAGGAUCGGGAAGGCACAGCCAGAGAGGCUGCCUGCACUACGGUGUAACGCGCCGUCAACAUAUCCCUUCCAGCGACAAUCAAUGGACCCUUUUGGGGCUAGUAGCUCAGUUGGUUAGAGCACACGCUUGAUAAGCGUGGGGUCGGAGGUUCAAGUCCUCCCUGGCCCACCAGUUCUGCUGCGUGUCCGUUCUGGGCUGCAUUUAUGCGGUUCAUAAGGUCAUGCACUGAUGGGGGCGUAGCUCAGCUGGGAGAGCACCUGCUUUGCAAGCAGGGGGUCGUCGGUUCGAUCCCGUCCGCCUCACCAUUUACUGGUGUUGAGAGGCCUGGGUUCUGGCCGUGAAUGAUUGUCGCCGGAAGAUAAUGGAGAUCGGACGGAUAUCCUGUGGAACCGCGUUGGCGGUGCAUGGGGUGUUGCGGUCUGGUGAGUUUGCUCUUUGAUAAUGUGAAUAGGUUGGUGCGUUUGUGGACGUGCCUUUGUCACGGGUUGGUCUGACCCGUGGAUGGUCCGGGCAGCCGGAGUAUCCAUGCUAGGUGACGGAGGCGUAAGCGUUCAUAAGCGAGUUAAGUGUUGAAUUGUGCGAUGCACUGCACUUUCUCUGUGCGGGUGUUGUUGCUCGAUCUGCCGGUUAUCUGACUGGUGGCUUGAGUGGAUGG
Molecule: transfer RNA, 734 nt
Filed under: Komagataeibacter saccharivorans
Lineage: Bacteria; Pseudomonadati; Pseudomonadota; Alphaproteobacteria; Acetobacterales; Acetobacteraceae
Description: contains 16S-23S intergenic spacer region
Rfam family: tRNA (bases 174-247)
Source: RNAcentral